GCUUAACAGCACCAUUACAGUCACUGAAUCUUCUAUCUUGGCAUCAUCAGUCCCUCGGGAUUAUGGCCUUCAAAAUAUCUAUUCAAUAUCCUACCUGUACUUUGGAGCCCUGUCAACUAGUGCAGUCGUGCUGGUAGGUGUGGUGGUUAGUUACAUUACAGCACCCACCAAGAAGGAUUCUAUCAGUCCUGGUUUGUUACGAUGGAACUUG
Molecule: long non-coding RNA, 211 nt
Organism: Sinocyclocheilus rhinocerous
Lineage: Eukaryota; Metazoa; Chordata; Actinopteri; Cypriniformes; Cyprinidae
Exons: 3
Source: RefSeq, a predicted model, not a curated record